CCCAGUUCUGAAAAUUCUUCAUUAGCACCAAAUCCAAACUUUUCCUCAGCAGUGGCAGGACCCAGGCGCGGGUCCUCCUUCCUCCUCCCGCCCCCUCGCGGUCAGACAACAGACCCCCCAUCUGCAAACUAGGGAUCAUCAUAAUGCCCUAACAGGGCUGAGUAGAGUUGACCCAGCUGCUUGUGUUCCAAAAGAGAGUUCAGCAGUGGAAUCCCAGGCAUCUUCAUACCGUCAGUGAAGCCAUCCGAACUUUGGCAUGCAGAAGUUCCACUUUCGUAACGAAGGGAAUUAUCUCAGGUCCCCAAUAAUCCUUCAAGGUCUACCUGGAGAAAAUGUUGAGCAUUAGAAAGAGCAAAAGCUUCGGAGUCGCCCAGCUGCAGAUCCAAAUCCCAGCUCCCAGCUCCACUGUUCCAUUCAUUCGCUCGCUGGGUAUUUG
Long non-coding RNA from Homo sapiens (human), 436 nucleotides. RefSeq lists it as uncharacterized. NCBI's taxonomy places the organism in Eukaryota, Metazoa, Chordata, Mammalia, Primates, Hominidae. The record is from RefSeq and is a predicted model, not a curated record. The transcript has 3 exons.